This 246-nucleotide ribosomal RNA is filed under the name uncultured Acholeplasma sp. RNAcentral describes it as "partial 16S ribosomal RNA". It matches the Rfam family "Bacterial small subunit ribosomal RNA", at positions 1137 to 1382 of the family's 1533-position model. Lineage: Bacteria; Bacillati; Mycoplasmatota; Mollicutes; Acholeplasmatales; Acholeplasmataceae. The record is from RNAcentral.
CGUCUAGCGAGACUGCCAGUGAUAAACUGGAGGAAGGUGGGGAUGACGUCAAAUCAUCAUGCCCCUUAUGACCUGGGCUACAAACGUGAUACAAUGGCUGAAACAAAGGGCAGCGAAGCAGUGAUGUGAAGCGAAACCCAAAAAAGCAGUCUCAGUUCGGAUUGAAGUCUGCAACUCGACUUCAUGAAGUCGGAAUCGCUAGUAAUCGCGAAUCAGAACGUCGCGGUGAAUACGUUCUCGGGGUUU